This 1689-nucleotide long non-coding RNA is filed under the name Mus musculus (house mouse). Its description in RNAcentral is "predicted gene, 33466". Lineage: Eukaryota; Metazoa; Chordata; Mammalia; Rodentia; Muridae. The record is from RNAcentral.
AGCUCUUGCCCUUGCUCCUUCGCCUGCUUGCUGCAUGAGACUGAGUAACUGCUAGAUCCUUGGACUUCCAUUCACAGCUGCGACUGAACCAUUGUUGGGAAUUGGGCUGCCGACUAAUGUUCUCCAGCAUCACCUACUUACGGAUUGAGAGCAUGUUGUUCAACCUUUACAUCCUCUGUGAAGAUACCGAGUCAGACCAGGUGUUCUUGAGAGUUCUUGCAGCAUUAACCAUCCAGCACAGUUCUCACCCAGGCACACAGAUGUCAUAAGGGUUAGGUGGCACCAGCCUCACAUCAAAUAGUCCCUUAAGUACAUGCACCAGAGUUGAACAAUCUUUAUAAACACAGGAUGGAAAAGGUCCAGAGAGGAGAGAGAAGAAGGUAAGAACUUGGGCAAAGCAGGAAAAGCUCACAAAAAUACACAAAAUAUACAAAAUAUUUACUACACAGAUCAUGUCUGAUAGAGACAUUUCUCCAAAGCCAGGUCAUGUAGAUGUUUGGUAGGUCAAUGCUUCAGCUGGUCUUCUGUAGAAGUAAGUUCCAAUAGAUGUGUUGGCAAGUAAAUGCUAGCAAAUGAAGAGUGAAUCUUCCUUCUUCUGAUGUCCUUAUGUAAUUCUCCAGUGGAAGGUGUGGCCCAGACUAAAGGUAUGAGCCACCAUGCUUGGAUCUGGGACUUGUUUUGUCCCAGGCUGACCUUGAACUCAGAGAUUUCCUUGCCAUAGUUUCCUGGGAUUAAAGGUGUGUACUAUCUUUCCCAUGCCUAAACUUUUAAUGCAAACUAUGCCUCAAGAUCUCCAUGCCAAGAUCCCAGGUCAGAAAUUUGUGUCUUGCCGGGCGUGGUGGUGCACGCCUUUAAUCCCAGCACUUGGGAGGCAGAGGCAGGCGAAUUUCUGAGUUUGAGGCCAGCCUGGUCUACAAAGUGAGUUCCAGGACAGCAGAGCUACACAGAGAAACCCUGUCUCGAAAAACAACAACAACAACAACAACAACAACAACAACAACAACAACAACAACAAAAGAAAUUUGUGUCUUCCAGUCUCAAGAUCUGGAUCACAGCUGGAAUACUUUCCCUCAAUCAUCUUUGCUCUGUGUGUGAUCUGGCACAGCUCAAGACAGUAACUUCAGUUCUGAAUACUGAUAGCACUGUAUAAGGGAAGUGUAAUACCAUCUACAGAUGAGGAAGCACAGCUGACUGUCUUCACGUCCCCCAGAUCACAGGUCCACACAGAACCCUUUUGACAGAAUUCAAGGGAGGCAGAAAUUUCAACCACUGAAAAACCAAACCAAACCAAAAUCCAAAACAUGGGUUCCACCCUAGCCAGCCACCUUCAAGAACCACAGGUCUUCAUAAACUAUUUCUGGCUAAUGAGGACUGUGUUUACAGCUGAGUGGCAAGAUCUACUAAUGAGUUGUGAAAUUGUGGGAAGCCGCAAACUCCAUUACAAGGUGGCGCUGGCUACCACUGGCCACCGCCCAUGAUUAUGGAUAAACAACCAAUGUGUGCAUGUGCAUAAGAGUUUUUUUGCCGAGUCACUGCCUGGCCCGACGCAUAUUAAUGAGGUACUGGUAGCAUAACCAAUCAGGUAUGGACACGUCACUCCUAGGCCUAUAUAAGCAGCACCAUUUCUGGGCUCAGGGUCUUUCGCCUAUGCAGUCAAUGCUCUCCCAAUAAAUGUGUGCAGAAGGAUCC